ACCCAGCUGACGAGUCCCAAAUAGGGCAAAAUGCGUGUUCUAGAU
This 45-nucleotide non-coding RNA is filed under the name Schistosoma mansoni. The record is from RNAcentral. Lineage: Eukaryota; Metazoa; Platyhelminthes; Trematoda; Strigeidida; Schistosomatidae.